This is a long non-coding RNA of Haplochromis burtoni (Burton's mouthbrooder), 1222 nucleotides long. RefSeq lists it as uncharacterized. NCBI's taxonomy places the organism in Eukaryota, Metazoa, Chordata, Actinopteri, Cichliformes, Cichlidae. The record is from RefSeq and is a predicted model, not a curated record. The transcript is spliced from 4 exons.
GUCCUCCUGUAACCAUGGUUACGGGAGUUUGUUGCAAGAAGUGUUGUGAAUCUCGCUGAGACAGGGAACCACUGAGAGCCUCAGAUGAACCAGUCAGUCAGGUUGCUGUCUCCACUUCUCCUCCUCCUCCUUCGUCCCCUUUGUUUUUUAAGUACCUGUUAGGAUUCUUUAGCUAGUUAGCAUCACAUUAGCUAGUUAGCAUCACAUUAGCAAACUGCUUCGGAGCACAGCUGCCGGAGUCGCGGGUUUUGUUGAAUCAGGCGUUGGACCUGCUGGAGGAAUGCUCUGCGAUGAUGGUGGAAAACAGCCGCCAUUCAACCCAUUUGAGAGCUUCAAAGAACUGGCUGCAGUUUCUGUUCCUGUCCGAGGUUUGCAGUGGAGAGCUCAGACCACACAGGACCGCCUCACCCUCAGAACAUCUCCACCACCCUGCCCACUGUUAAGAUGAUUGUCGAGGUGAGUCACUCGGCGUGUGUGAUGACCACCGCCGUCAUCUGUAAGCUGCUGCGCUCCAAAGAGGCCAUGGCCACGAUGGACAUCAGGAACUGGCCCCCAGUGCUGGACACCGUCUGGGCCCAAUCUGCCAGCUUACCCAGGGGAACACGAAGGCGUUCUCAUGCUAGCCAAUAGAUGUAAUCCCUCCUGCGAGUCUGUUCUGGGCCUCCAACUGGUAGGACAUGCCCAAAACACUCCUCCCAGCAGAAGCCUUUGUCAGAUGCUUGAACCAAAGAACUGGUUCCUUUGAAUGUGGCAGAGCAGUAACUCGAAUUCACUCUGCUCGAUCAAGCUGCUCACCCUACCUUUAAGAAAGAGCCCAGUUACCCAUCAGAGGAAACUCAUUUUCAUUGUUUUAUAUGUGAUGUCAUUGUUUUGGUCAGUACCCAGAGCUUGUAACCAUAAGUGAAGGUAGGAACAUAGAUCAGAUACUGUCCCAGUAUACCCUGGAGGUCGCCACCUGAUGAAGCUGACACGAAGCCUGCAAAAAGACAACCACAGUGGAGACCCUCAACAACCUGGUAUCGCUAGAAUGUGUCCAUAAAAACCAGAAACAGAAUCUAUGACAAAGAAAGAAGAGGUCCGACUUCUCCCCGGCUGUACAGGGACCUCAUACUCCCCAAGGACCCUGACAGGAUCACCAUGUACACAUGAAUAGGACCCUAUCCCUACUUUUAUGGCAGAACUGCAUUGAACGAGCAGCCUGACAUGUUUCUUAUGGACAUGU